GAAAUGCGAUAAGUAGUGUGAAUUGCAGAAUUCAGUGAAUCAUCGAAUCUUUGAACGCACAUUGCGCCCUUUGGUAUUCCAAAGGGCAUGCCUGUUCGAGCGUCAUUUGUACCCUCAAGCUUUGCUUGGUGUUGGGCGUCUUGUCUCUAGCUUUGCUGGAGACUCGCCUUAAAGUAAUUGGCAGCCGGCCUACUGGUUUCGGAGCGAAGCACAAGUCGCACUCUCUAUCAGCAAAGGUCUAGCAUCCAUUAAGCCUUUUUUUCAACUUUUGACCUCGGAUCAGGUAGGGAUACCCGCUGAACUUAAGC
Molecule: unclassified non-coding RNA, 308 nt
Filed under: plant metagenome
Description: partial contains 5.8S ribosomal RNA, internal transcribed spacer 2, and large subunit ribosomal RNA
Rfam family: 5.8S ribosomal RNA (bases 1-105)
Source: RNAcentral